RNAcentral lists this ribosomal RNA (468 nucleotides) under uncultured bacterium. RNAcentral's name for it is "partial 16S ribosomal RNA". It matches the Rfam family "Bacterial small subunit ribosomal RNA", at positions 28 to 507 of the family's 1533-position model. The record is from RNAcentral.
GACGAACGCUGGCGGCGUGCUUAACACAUGCAAGUCGAACGGAAAGGCCCUGCUUUUGUGGGGUGCUCGAGUGGCGAACGGGUGAGUAACACGUGAGUAACCUGCCCUUGACUUUGGGAUAACUUCAGGAAACUUGGGCUAAUACCGGAUAGGAGCUCCUGCUGCAUGGUGGGGGUUGGAAAGUUUCGGCGGUUGGGGAUGGACUCGCGGCUUAUCAGCUUGUUUGUGGGGUAGUUGCUUACCAAGGCUUUGACGGGUAGCCGGCCUGAGAGGGUGACCGGCCACAUUGGGACUGAGAUACGGACCAGAAUCCUACGGGAGGCAGCAGGGGGGAAUAUUGCACAAUGGGCGGAAGCCUGAUGCAGCAACGCCGCGUGCGGGAUGACGGCCUUCGGGUUGUAAACCGCUUUCGCCUGUGACGAAGCGUGAGUGACGGUAAUGGGUAAAGAAGCACCGGCUAACUACGUG